GAUUUAAAAUAUAGUAAAAGACUGAGGUAAACCCUCUUUAUUCUAUAUUCACUGAAUAUCUGAGUUUUGAAGGUGGUUUAUUGAAUUCUUGAAGAAAGGGUGAAAUUGUUGAUAUUGGAAGACAUUCGAUAGCGAAAGCAUUAACCAAUUCUGAUCUGACGCUAGGUACUAAAGUAUGGGGAUAAAUAGGAUUAGAGACCUAGUAGUCCAUACCUUAAACAAUGAGUGUUCAACGUCUUUUAAUAGGUACUAUUUGAUUAGGUUGCGAAUAGGCGUAUUGUUGGGGGUUUAAAGCUAACGCGUGAAACACCGCCUGGGGAAUGUGGCCGCAAGGUUAAACUCAAAGGAAUUGACGGAGACUUAUACAAGG
Molecule: ribosomal RNA, 370 nt
Filed under: Physarum cinereum
Lineage: Eukaryota; Evosea; Eumycetozoa; Physariida; Physaraceae
Description: partial small subunit ribosomal RNA
Rfam family: Bacterial small subunit ribosomal RNA
Source: RNAcentral